GGGCAAAUCUCUUCCCUGGGGAAUUACCACCAGAUGGCAACCUGGGGCUUGUCUCCUCAAAGAUUCUCCCUGGUUGCCAGGGAGCACCAGGGCUCUGCUGUUGCCUAAAAGAUGGGAGAACUGAGAUGGAGUCAUUGGCCCCAGGGCAGAGUUGUGGCAGUGCAAAGCAAGAUCUCCUGGAUAUCUGCCCCCUACAACCCCUUACUCCAUCUCCUGUUCAGACAAAGACUGCUGUUUUCUUGAGUCAGGGAGUCAGUUGCUCCUCCCCUGAAAGCGGCCUCAACCCCACUCCCCAGGCAUUAAUUACAUAAUUAACUGAGGACAGAGAAGGAGGAGAAGGCCAUCCUGGCAGGAAUCCAAAGGCCGCGAAGACUUCUGAAAAUCUAGAUAUCAGACCAACUUCUACCUGUUCAGCAGCAACUGGCGUCCCUGAGACAGAACUGAAAGAAGCCAAGAUGUAAAGAAGAUGGCUGAGAACCCUGGAGCGGGGAGGGAGACCAGUGGGGAAGUAGUGCUUCCAUGGUUCCGGAGUAGGGCUGCUCAGGGGCUGGCCCCCACCUGCUCCUGCCCUGACCCAUCUCCC
Long non-coding RNA from Bos taurus (domestic cattle), 583 nucleotides. NCBI's taxonomy places the organism in Eukaryota, Metazoa, Chordata, Mammalia, Artiodactyla, Bovidae. The record is from Ensembl.